GGGCUGUUAGCUCAGUUGGUAGAGCGCUUCGUUUACACCGAAGAUGUCGGCGGUUCGAGUCCGUCACGGCCCACCA
This 76-nucleotide transfer RNA is filed under the name Gemmobacter fulvus. Its description in RNAcentral is "tRNA-Val". It matches the Rfam family "tRNA". From Rfam's summary of the family: Transfer RNA (tRNA) molecules are approximately 80 nucleotides in length. Their secondary structure includes four short double-helical elements and three loops (D, anti-codon, and T loops). Lineage: Bacteria; Pseudomonadati; Pseudomonadota; Alphaproteobacteria; Rhodobacterales; Paracoccaceae. The record is from RNAcentral.